Eriocheir sinensis (Chinese mitten crab) is the source of this 1482-nucleotide long non-coding RNA. RefSeq lists it as uncharacterized. Lineage: Eukaryota; Metazoa; Arthropoda; Malacostraca; Decapoda; Varunidae. The record is from RefSeq and is a predicted model, not a curated record. The transcript has 4 exons.
CAACGCCGGGCAGGUGGGGCUCGUUAGCCGUGGUAGGCAAUCUGCCUAGGAGAGCAAACUCCGAACAACAAACCCGGGCAGGUGAGGUUCGUUAGCCGUGGUAGGCAAUUCACCUAGGAGAGCAAACUCCGAACAAUAAACCCGGGCAGGUUGGGCUCGUGAGCCGUCAUAGGUAAUACACCUAGGAGAGCAAACUCCGAACAAUAAACCCGGGCAGGUUGGGCUCGUGAGCCGUCAUAGGUAAUACACCUAGGAGAGCAAACUCCGAACAGUAAACCCGGGCAGGUUGGGCUCGUGAGCCGUCAUAGGUAAUACACCUAGGAGAGCAAACUCCGAACAAUAAACCCGGGCAGGUGGAGCUCGUCAGCCGUGGUAGGCAGUCUGCCUAGGAGAGCAAACUCCAAACAAUAAACCCGGGCAGGUGGAGCUCGUCAGCCGUGGUAGGCAGUCUGCCUAGGAGAGCAAACUCCAAACAAUAAACCCGGGCAGGUGGAGCUCGUCAGCCGUGGUAGGCAGUCUGCCUAGGAGAGCAAACUCCAAACAAUAAACCCGGGCAGGUGGAGCUCGUCAGCCGUGGUAGGCAGUCUGCCUAGGAGAGCAAACUCCAAACAAUAAACCCGGGCAGGUGGAGCUCGUCAGCCGUGGUAGGCAGUCUGCCUAGGAGAGCAAACUCCGAACAAUAAACCCGGGCAGGUGGAGCUCGUCAGCCGUGGUAGGCAGUCUGCCUAGGAGAGCAAACUCCGAACAAUAAACCGGGGCUUGUGGUGCUCGUUAGAUGUCGUAGACAAUCCACGUGAUGGGAACACCAAAGAAAAGGAAAAUAAAAAGGAACACCAGAAAAAGGAAAAUAUAGUAACAAAACAUCAAGAAAAUAAAAUAAAAAAACACAGAUCAUCCACCUUCAGGCCCUAACAUCUCCAAAAUUAUGGGUGAGUCUUUUCUGGGGAGAAAGAGGCUCAUCCAGACCAAAGAACAUCAAAAAGGGAUGAUAUAGAAAGGAACACCAAAAAAAUGGGAAAAAGAGAAAAAAACAUCGCAAAAGAAAAGUAACAACAAUAACAGAACAACGUCAAGAAAAGUAACAUACAAAGAAACAUCAUCCACCAUUCGGCCCCAAACUAACAUCACCAAAAUUAUGGGUGGGUCUCUUCUGGGAGGAAAGCGGCUCACCCAGAUCAACGAAAAACAUCAACAAGAGGAUGAUAUGAAAUAAAAGAACAUCAAAAAACACGAAGAAAAGAAAUAAGAAGAAAAAGAACAGGAAAAACAUCGGAAAAGAAAAACAUGAAGAAAAACACAUCAAGAGAUGAAAAAUAUAAGAAACAUCAUCCACCUUUCGGCCCCUAACUAACAUCACCAAAAUUAUGGGUGGGUCUCUUCUGGGAGGAAAGCGGCUCACCCAGACCAAUGAACAUCAACAAGAGGAUGAUAUGAAAUAAAAGAACAUCAAAAAAGAAAAACAACAGCAAGAAAACAAAGAAA